This 758-nucleotide ribosomal RNA is filed under the name uncultured Actinobaculum sp. RNAcentral's name for it is "bacterial SSU rRNA". It matches the Rfam family "Bacterial small subunit ribosomal RNA", at positions 28 to 776 of the family's 1533-position model. The record is from RNAcentral. Lineage: Bacteria; Bacillati; Actinomycetota; Actinomycetes; Actinomycetales; Actinomycetaceae.
GACGAACGCUGGCGGCGUGCUUAACACAUGCAAGUCGAACGAUGAAGCCUAGCAAUCUUUGGUUGUUGGGUGGAUUAGUGGCGAACGGGUGAGUAAUACGUGGGUAACCUGCCCUCCUUUUUGGGAUAAGCCUUGGAAACGGGGUCUAAUACCGAAUAUUCUGGCGCUCUCGCAUGGGGGUGUUGGGAAAGCUUUUGUGUGAAGGGGGAUGGGCUCGCGGCCUAUCAGCUUGUUGGUGGGGUGAUGGCCUACCAAGGCGGUGACGGGUAGCCGGCCUGAGAGGGUGACCGGCCACAUUGGGACUGAGAUACGGCCCAGACUCCUACGGGAGGCAGCAGUGGGGGAUAUUGCACAAUGGGCGAAAGCCUGAUGCAGCGACGCCGCGUGGGGGAUGAAGGCUUUCGGGUUGUAAACCUCUUUCGCUAUCGAACAAGGCCCGCUUAGGGUGGGUUGAGGGUAGGUGGAGAAGAAGCGCCGGCUAACUACGUGCCAGCAGCCGCGGUAAUACGUAGGGCGCGAGCGUUGUCCGGAAUUAUUGGGCGUAAAGGGCUUGUAGGCGGCUUGUUGCGCCUGCUGUGAAAACGCGGGGCUUAACUUCGCGCGUGCAGUGGGUACGGGCAGGCUUGAGUGUGGUAGGGGUGACUGGAAUUCCAGGUGUAGCGGUGGAAUGCGCAGAUAUCUGGAGGAACACCGAUGGCGAAGGCAGGUCACUGGGCCAUUACUGACGCUGAGGAGCGAAAGCAUGGGUAGCGAACAGG